RNAcentral lists this long non-coding RNA (1690 nucleotides) under Glycine max (soybean). RNAcentral's name for it is "long non-coding RNA (GMAX_LNC000442)". The record is from RNAcentral. Lineage: Eukaryota; Viridiplantae; Streptophyta; Magnoliopsida; Fabales; Fabaceae.
UUUCCAACAAGGAGAGAGAUGUGUAGUACGAUAGUAAGUGCUAUUACUAUCAAAUAGGUUAAUUUAAUAAGUAUCUGCUUGUUUUAGUGGUUCUGGCUCAUCUAUAGUUUCACCUUCUCCCUGAUUCAUCAAGUUACAUUUUUCCUAAUAUCCAUAGCAAGAGCUCUCCACUGUUAUUGGAAAAUACUGAAUACAUAAAGGAACCAGAGAAAUAAUCUGAACUCACCCAUGAGUGGUGUACAGGUACUGUUAAUCACCAUGCAUUCUAUUUUCUUCCCCUUUUUCAAUAAUAUAUUUUCUUUUGCAUAUAAUUAAUUUGGCAUGAAAAUGAAGUAAUUAGCUUUGGUAUUGUGGGAUUACAUUUCUGUGGUUUUCUACCAGCUACUACUUUUUCAGCUAUGAAAAUUCAAUCAAGUUGAAUGCAUGUCUAAUUGUCUUUGAAUUGUGCUUCACAAUACCUCCUUAAUCUUUGCUUGCUUAUUUAUCUACUUUAGUUUUCUGUUUUAUCGUUUUGAUUUUAAUGGCUCAUUUGGGCUGUUGCCUGUUUAGUAUUUCUCUUGGCAUGAUUGUAGAAAACAAACAGCUGACUGAGUGGUCUUGUUCUAAGAUGCAUUUGGUUUAGCAUAUGCACUUAUAAUUGCCUUCAUUAUCCAACUUUACCAAUACCCAUUUUCCUAUUUCCUUAAACAAUUUCACAGCAUGUUGGGAUUAUUAUUAAGCUAGCUACAUUAUUUCAAAUUAUGAAGUCAAAAUAAUUUACUAAAAUAGUAAUUCACAAUCUAAUUUUGUUAAGCAGCACAACUCUAAUACUUAUUAACUGGAAAUCAAACCACAAGACGUGAUUUAACCUUUAAUUCACAAUCUAAUGGCAUUCAGUUUCUCUAACACCAAAGCAAAAAAAUGCGCCCCAAUUGAGCACUCUAGUCCUAAUACUUCUUUUCUUUUGUUCAAUUUCUAUAAAUCAAAAUAAUAAGGGCAAAUAAAAUCAGUUAUUCUGGUACAACACGCAACAAGAUAAAUUUACUUUUGACACUUAGUGCCACUUAUCUGCUUUGACUCCAUUGAAUUCUAAUCCAACUUCACACUAUCAUACAAUGAUUGGAUGGCUAGAGUAGGAAGAAAUGAAAAAUAACUACAUGCCCAGUUCAAUAGACAUAAACAUAAAACCAUACAUUGUGGCUAAGUGUUGCACAAUUAUUGUCUAUGAAUCUUCCAUGUCCACAAACCUAUGUUUUUUUAACAACCGGUGGUUUUGUGAUUCCAAACUGUAGAGAUCAUUGUCUAGUUUUCUCUUGCUAUAAGGAUCGGUGAAUCGAAUAUCCUCCAUGAAAUUUUCGUGUUUGAAUAUAUGGAUUCCAAUUUCUGUACAGGUUGACAAGUUUAUACCAUCCAGACAUGUAACCACUGCAUGGUUCCAUUCAUUUUCAAAAGGCACCUCAUAAGGACUGUUUGUAAAUUCUGUCUGUCGUAGAUCAAAAAGAUAUGUAUGAUCUGUAUUCAUACACAAGUCAAAUCUACCAAGGGAACAUUUAUUGCCAUUGAUGAACACCACAGGAUAAAAAAAAUUAUAGUCCUUAUCCUGAUGUGCAAUAACAAGACAGAAUUUUCAAAUAACUUAUUACGAAACCAGAAAGAAGUUAAAGGUUCCCUGCUUUGGUGAUCGAAUCACUCUGGAAUCCUUGUUCCUGGC